AUGGAAUGUGAAGCUUGCUUCACAUGAAAUCAGCGGCNNNNNNGUGAGUAACACGUGGAUAACCUACCCUGCAAGCCGGGAUAACACUCCGAAAGGAGUGCUAAUACCGGAUGGCACCGGGAUUCGCAUGAAUCCCGGCGAAAAGGAGCAAUUCGAUGCAGGAUGGGUCCGCGUCCCAUUAGCUAGUUGGUGAGGUAACGGCUCACCAAGGCGACGAUGGGUAGCUGGUCUGAGAGGACGAUCAGCCACAAUGGAACUGAGACACGGUCCAUACUCCUACGGGAGGCAGCAGUGAGGAAUAUUGCGCAAUGGGCGAAAGCCUGACGCAGCGACGCCGCGUGGGUGACGAAGGCCUUCGGGCCGUAAAACCCUUUUGGCAGGGACGAGUGAGGACGGUACCCGCCGAAUAAGUCUCGGCUAACUACGUGCCAGCAGCCGCGGUAAAACGUAGGAGGCGAGCGUUAUCCGGAUUCACUGGGCGUAAAGCGCGCGUAGGCGGUCGGUUAAGUCGGACGUUAAAGCCCCUGGCUCAACUGGGGGAGGUCGUUCGAUACUGGUCGGCUUGAGGAUGAGAGGGGAGAGUGGAAUUCCCGGUGUAGCGGUGGAAUGCGUAGAGAUCGGGAGGAACACCAGUGGCGAAGGCGGCUCUCUGGCUCAUUCCUGACGCUGAGUGCGCGACAGCGUGGGGAGCAAACGGGAUUAGAUACCCCGGUAGUCCACGCCGUAAACGAUGAGGGCUGGGUGUUGGCGAGAUUUCUCGUCAGUGUCGAAGCAAACGCGUUAAGCCCUCCGCCUGGGGACUACGAACGCAAGUUU
RNAcentral lists this ribosomal RNA (816 nucleotides) under uncultured bacterium. RNAcentral describes it as "bacterial SSU rRNA". It matches the Rfam family "Bacterial small subunit ribosomal RNA", at positions 66 to 895 of the family's 1533-position model. The record is from RNAcentral.